RNAcentral lists this long non-coding RNA (1895 nucleotides) under Mus musculus (house mouse). RNAcentral describes it as "predicted gene, 39459". The record is from RNAcentral. Lineage: Eukaryota; Metazoa; Chordata; Mammalia; Rodentia; Muridae.
CAGCCUUCCCCACUCUCUGCUUCCUGUGCACGGAUAGAAUGUGAUGAGCCAACUUCCUGCUACUGCUGUGAUGCGUUCUGUGCCUAUUGUGCCUUCCUUUUGUAUCCUUUGCAACUGUAAGCCAACAUAAACCCUUUCUUACCCUUAAUUGCUUAAGAAGAGUUUAUCGCAGCAACAGAAAGGAACCGAAGACGUCAGCCCAUGGGAAGGUGUGGAACGGUGCCACCACUUUUAAGGUUUCUGGUCCAGCCUGUCUCCACAUACAGAUCCAGCUCGGCCAUUUCUCAGGAAAACAAUUUAAACUAGAAAAAGAAGACAGCAGCAGCCUGCACCCAGCGCUCUGCAGGGUGCCUAUGAAGAGGACGUGCCUGUCACUUGACAGGUUACAUACACUUCAACCUAUCCAUCUGUGAAACGGGAUCCGUGGUACUUCUUUUGUAAAGCCGGUAAUGAGGUGGCCGUUCCAACACUGUAAGCUACAUCCCAUGGAAGGUGACUCCAACCCUGGUAACCUGUCAGCCUGAGGCUCACAGUACUGCAGUAGCCCUGGAGGGGUGAGCACCUGUAAGAGAGUGGAGUCUGCCUGCAGCUAAGUAAAAAAUGUCAGCAAUGAGAACAAUUGAGUUUGUGACUGCAGCAGUAAUUCUCCCAGGCUUGGAGAAUGGGUCCCAGGGCCACACCUGUCAUAGAGCAUAAAGAAACAAUCAGUUAGCAACAAAGUAACCAAUCCCUUCCUUGCUAAGCGUUUCGGUCAUAAACAGGUUCAAUACUGGACAAUGAAUGUUGCAGCUGCCCAUAGUCCUGAGGCUCCUGGGGCCUGGGAGACUGAGCAAAGCAUUGAUGCAUACCGACUCCUCCUCAAGGAGUGAGGUCGUGCUUGGGGCACCAAGAACCAAGCUACACAUCUGUGAGUCACAUCCCCAUUAAGAACUCGUCCACUUGGUAAUGCUGCAAUAACCCAAACCACAGACUCCAUCUGGGAUGAAACCCCGGUCCACAUGCAAGCCUUACACUCGGGAGGCAGAGGUGGAGGGGCACGGGUUUGAAGCCAGGAAAUCCCAAGCAACUGUCUGUUCAGAUCCCCUCAAAUGAGCCUGGGGGAUCCAGCAGUGUGAGCCAUUCUGGAUCUAUAGCCCCGACUCUAGGCUCACAAACAAAGCCUGUUGAGGCUGCAAAACUAAAUUUGCUGUUAUUUGUCCUUUGGCAUGGGUUUCUCUCUGCCCUAAAUCUUGAUGUUUCUAUUUCCCCAGUAUUCGUCAUGUGGACCCAUCUUAUUCUUCACAUGGACUUGUCUUUGCAUUCUUCACGUGGACCCAUCUGUGUGUUCAACUCCCUGUAUCAUUUUCUCCCAUUUUCCAUCCUCAUCUCCUUGGGAACAGAGCCAGUGUUCGUGUCUAGGGAAAAUUCUAGGCUCUUUAUGCCUCUCCCCCAAAAUCAGUGGGCUUGGGGAAUAUUAUGGGAGCUAAAGAUAGAGCUUUUCAUGUAACCAAAAAAGGAUCAAAAUUCUAACCCUUCUGGAAGCCAGUGGCCAGAUGGGACCACACUCCCUCUGUCCAGAGUUAAACCAGAGAUUAUUCUGCCCAGGAAAAGUGAAGCAGAUGUCUGAACAACUUUCUCUGGACAUUAGAAAACAAACAUCCAGUUGGUGGGAAUUGAUUUAUUUUGCACCCCCCACACCACCACCUCUUGCCCUCCCAGGAACAUCUUGUGUUGAGUUGGGGCAGCCUUUGCCGUUGGGAGCAGUGCCCCCUCCAAAGUGAAGAAAGAAAACUCUGAACUGGGGCUGGAGAGAUGGCUCAGUGGGUAAGAGCACCCGACUGCUCUUCCGAAGGUCCAGAGUUCAAAUCCCAGCAACCACAUGGUGGCUCACAACCAUCCGUAAUGAGAUCUGACGC